UAACGCGUGGGAAUCUGCCCUGGAGUGGGGGAUAACCCGGCGAAAGCCGGGCUAAUACCGCAUACGUCCUGAGGGAGAAAGAUUUAUCGCUCUAGGAGGGGCCCGCGUCGGAUUAGCUAGUUGGUGAGGUAACGGCCCCCCAAGGCGACGAUCCGUAGCUGGUCUGAGAGGAUGAUCAGCCACACUGGGACUGAGACACGGCCCAGACUCCUACGGGAGGCAGCAGUGGGGAAUAUUGGACAAUGGGCGCAAGCCUGAUCCAGCAAUGCCGCGUGAGUGAUGAAGGCCUUAGGGUUGU
RNAcentral lists this ribosomal RNA (298 nucleotides) under uncultured Sphingomonadaceae bacterium. Its description in RNAcentral is "partial 16S ribosomal RNA". It matches the Rfam family "Bacterial small subunit ribosomal RNA", at positions 111 to 426 of the family's 1533-position model. Lineage: Bacteria; Pseudomonadati; Pseudomonadota; Alphaproteobacteria; Sphingomonadales; Sphingomonadaceae. The record is from RNAcentral.